CCUACGGGUGGCAGCAGUGAGGAAUAUUGGUCAAUGGACGCAAGUCUGAACCAGCCAUGCCGCGUGCAGGAAGACGGCUCUAUGAGUUGUAAACUCCUUUUGUACGAGGGUAAACGCAGAUACGCGUAUCUGUCUGAAAGUCUCGUACGAAUAAGGAUCGGCAACCUCCAUGCCGGCAGCCGCGGUAGUAGGGAGGUUUCAGGCGUUACCCGAUUUUAUUGGGUUAAAAGGGUGCGUAGGCGGAUCGUUAGGUCAGUGGGAAAAUUGAGGGGCUAAACCCGUUCCCGCCAUUGAAACUGGCGUUCUUGAGUGGAAGAGAGGUAGGCGGAAUGCGUGGUGUAGCGGUGAAAUGCAUAGAUAUCAGGCAGAACACCGAUUGCGAAGGCAGCAUGCCGGCUUCCGACUGACGCUGAGGCACGAAAGCGUGGGGAGCGAACAGGAUUAGAUACCCGGGUAGUC
RNAcentral lists this ribosomal RNA (459 nucleotides) under uncultured bacterium. Its description in RNAcentral is "partial 16S ribosomal RNA". It matches the Rfam family "Bacterial small subunit ribosomal RNA", at positions 338 to 795 of the family's 1533-position model. The record is from RNAcentral.